UGAGGGAUAUUGGUCAAUGGGCGCAAGCCUGAACCAGCGACGCCGCGUGGGUGAAGAAGGUCUUCGGAUCGUAAAGCCCUUUUCCCACUGAAGAGGAAGGACGGUAGGUGGGGAAGAAGUCUCGGCUAACUACGUGCCAGCAGCCGCGGUAAAACGUAGGAGACAAGCGUUAUCCGGAGUUACUGGGCGUAAAGGGCGUGCAGGUGGCGUCUUAAGUCUGUUGUGAAAGCGCCUGGCUUAACCGGGCGAGGCCAAUGGAGACUGAGAGGCUGGGUGACGGCGGAGUGGUGUGGAAUUCCGGGUGUAGUGGUGAAAUGCGUAGAGAUCCGGAGGAACACCAGAGGCGAAGGCGGCACUCUAAGCCGUACCUGACACUGAGACGCGACAGCACGGGGAGCAAACG
RNAcentral lists this ribosomal RNA (403 nucleotides) under uncultured bacterium. Its description in RNAcentral is "bacterial SSU rRNA". It matches the Rfam family "Bacterial small subunit ribosomal RNA", at positions 355 to 774 of the family's 1533-position model. The record is from RNAcentral.